AUCCCUACGGGACGCAGCAGUGAGGAAUAUUGGUCAAUGGGAGAGAUCCUGAACCAGCCAAGCCGCGUGAGGGAAGACGGCCCUAUGGGUUGUAAACCUCUUUGCCGGAGAACAAAACCCGGGACGUGUCCCGGACUGCGCGUAUCCGAAGAAAAAGCAUCGGCUAACUCCGUGCCAGCAGCCGCGGUAAUACGGAGGAUGCGAGUGUUAUCCGGAUUUAUUGGGUUUAAAGGGUGCGUAGGCGGUCCAUUAAGUCAGCGGUAAAAUUGCGGGGCUCAACCCCGUCGAGCCGUUGAAACGGGCAG
RNAcentral lists this ribosomal RNA (305 nucleotides) under uncultured bacterium. RNAcentral describes it as "bacterial SSU rRNA". It matches the Rfam family "Bacterial small subunit ribosomal RNA", at positions 335 to 639 of the family's 1533-position model. The record is from RNAcentral.